AAUGAACGUUGGCGGCAUGGAUUAGGCAUGCAAGUCGGGGAAAUCCCAGCAAUGGGGGAACCGGCGUAAGGGGCAGUAAGGCAUGGGUACCUACCUUGGGGUUCGGGAUAGCCAUCAGAGAUGGUGGGUAAUACCGGAUGACGUCGUGAGACCAAAGAUUUAUCGCCCUUAGAGGGGCCCAUGUGAUAGUAGCUAGUUGGUGGGGUAACGGCCCACCAAGGCGAAGAUGUCUAGCGGGGGUGAGAGCACGACCCGCGCCACUCGCACUGAGACACUGGCGAGACGCGUACGGGUGGCUGCAGUCGAGGAUCGUCGGCAAUGAGCGCAAGCUUGACCGAGCGAUGCCGCGUGAGCGAUGAAGGCCUUCGGGUUGUAGAGCUCUUUAGUGGGGGAGAAAAGCCGCAAGGUGUGAUCUAUCCCAAAAAUAAGCACGGGCUAAGUUCGUGCCAGCCGCCGCCGUAA
This 462-nucleotide ribosomal RNA is filed under the name uncultured bacterium. Its description in RNAcentral is "partial 16S ribosomal RNA". It matches the Rfam family "Bacterial small subunit ribosomal RNA", at positions 29 to 523 of the family's 1533-position model. The record is from RNAcentral.